GCCCGCAGGGCUGUCGUGGAGCAGAGCCUGCAGGGUGGGCCGUGGCACGGAACCGUGCUGGAGCAGUGCUAGGAGAGCUGCGGCCACUGGGAAGCUCACGUGGGAUCCUUGCAGGAAGGUCAGCAUCCCGUAGGGCAGAGCCCACGUAGAGCCGGGGCAGAGAUUGGCUAUGGAGGAGCACCAGGGACUGACUGCAGCCUCAUUCCCUAUCCCGCGCUGCUCAAGAGGAGGUGGAAGAAGAGCCUGCUGGCAGUGAAAGGAACAGAACUUCUUGAAUGACUUGUUCUGGUGGAUCAUCUAUUUUCUCUCAGGCAUGAGAAAAAGCAAUAGCCACAAGCAGCAAAGAACAGAAAACUGCUGUUUUAUAUACAGAUUAACAUUUGUGAUGCCCCAAGAUAUCAGCUGGAUGCUUUUACAUGGUAGAAGAAUGUGCAGUCCAUAUACUACAGGGUAUUUACAGUGUCCCCUUCAUGGAAAGGAACAUCCUAAAUUUCUCCAUGACAGCUGUGCAACAAGCAUGGAGAAAGUAUGGAUCCAAACUCCUGUGAGAAGAUCUCUGACGGUUGUAGAUCUGGCAGGCUGGGUCUCUAUAACGUGUAGAAAUGGAGAGGAAAAAAAGUGUAGACUUGAAAAAUUUCACGUGAAGAGAACAGAGGACGUAAGGAGAUAAUUUCAUCAGAACGGUCUGACACAAUUCCUCCACAGCACAGAGAUGUCUGCUAAGGGAAAUACCUGUCACCACUAAAAACGAUGGCGAUUUUGGCAUUUUAUUCCAGGGAAGACAGGGGUGACCAUAUUGGGUCUCCUUUACUGGUCCUCCUGCUGAGUCCCAUACAGCUCCUCAUUCUGCUUACCUAAUUUUUGUGUAUGCUUUUAGUUACUCAGUGGUCACUGACAAGCAAACUGCUUAAAUUUCCUCCAAAUUAACACGUAGUAUCUGCAUCUCUCACUGCCGUGCUGAUCACUCCC
RNAcentral lists this long non-coding RNA (969 nucleotides) under Gallus gallus (chicken). Its description in RNAcentral is "lncRNA (ENSGALG00010019857.1)". The record is from RNAcentral. Lineage: Eukaryota; Metazoa; Chordata; Aves; Galliformes; Phasianidae.